AUGACUACGAAUCUGACGCAGUUCGGAGCUAUGAGGAAGAAGAUUAAUAUGCCAGACAAGAUGAAGAAGAUGCAAGAGAGUCUACAGAAGAUAACAGAAGACCGUCAGAACUACUGUCUUCCGCCAGAAACUCAUACCAACGAGCACCAACUUCCAGAUAUCAGGGAAAAUGCAGGGACCAUAGAGGAAGCAGAAAUUAUUGGGAGGGCCAAGGAAAAACUGGAAAUCUUGGCUCGAUUAUCUGGGAGCACCACUGAACGAACCACCUUCCUCCCCAUAUGGGGCUUUGGAGGCAUUGGAAAGACCACCUUGGCAAGAUCAGUUUACAACGACCCUCAGUUUAAAAAUCACUCUCGGGUAUGGGUCUAUGUUUCCCAGAUAUUUGACUUGAAAAUUUUUGGAAAAACUAUAAUAUCGCAACUAUCAGAACCAGAACCAGAACAAAAGAGCAAGCCGGCACCUGAUUUGCAUAGUAUUAACAUUUGCUUGCAAAAGCUACUCACUGAGAAGAAGAAUAUUUUGAUCAUUUUGGAUGACCUGUGGGAGAAGCAUCCUUCUCAACUAGAACAAUUAAAGGAUAUGCUGAAGCAGGGUGAGGGAUGCAAGGUGACGGUUGUAGUUACCACACGGGAUGAAGGUAUUGCAAAUGAGAUUGGUACUGUUCAGCCAUACAACUUGCCUCAAUUGUCAGAUGAGAUGUGCUGGGAUAAAAUUAGGCAGAAAAGUAAAUUUGAAACAAGGGAUGACAAAGAAAGGUUGGAGCCGAUUGGAAGGGAUAUUGCAAAGAAGUGCAGAGGUGUAGCUUUAGCUGCUCAAUCACUUGGACACAUGUUGAAGUCCAGGCCGCACAGAGAAUGGAAUUCGGUGAAAGCCAAUCACAUAUGGGAUCUAUCUACUUCUACAGAUGCAUCACCAGGAAAUGAAGUGCUUGGAUCCUUGCAGUUAAGCUACAACUUCAUGCCUCCAUACUUGAAGUUAUGCUUUGCCUAUUGUGCAAUCUUUCCAAAGGGUCACAAGAUGAUUAAAUAUGAUCUGAUUCAUCAAUGGAUUGCUCUUGGAUUCGUGGAGGCAUCUAGUACAUUCUCUAAUUGGCCAAGAUUGUCACCACGAGGGCUGCCAUUCCCGCCAGCCGCCGAUGAUCCCCACUACGGUGGCCCUUGCUGCGAACGAAAAUAA
RNAcentral lists this ribosomal RNA (1176 nucleotides) under Triticum aestivum (bread wheat). Its description in RNAcentral is "partial small subunit ribosomal RNA". The record is from RNAcentral. Lineage: Eukaryota; Viridiplantae; Streptophyta; Magnoliopsida; Poales; Poaceae.